CGCCGAGAUGCAGGUCCGCUGCACUCCAGCUCCUCCGAACUCGGAGCCUCCGCCGACAAAACCACCGCCGAACCCGAAGCUCCGCCGAACUCAAACCUCCGCUGAGCUCCGAGCUCCAUCCACGAGGUCCGCUAGCUGAGCUCCCCUCCGCUCCGCCGAACUUCACCUCCGCUGGACUGUUCACCGCUGAGCGUCUCCUCCGCUGACCAACCUUCGCCGGACUGCUUCUUCCUCCGCUAGUAACCACCGACCGUCAGUC
Molecule: long non-coding RNA, 259 nt
Filed under: Rosa chinensis
Lineage: Eukaryota; Viridiplantae; Streptophyta; Magnoliopsida; Rosales; Rosaceae
Description: sRNA RchiOBHm_Chr6g0294971
Source: RNAcentral